UACGUAGGGCGCAAGUGUUAUCCGGAAUUAUUGGGCGUAAAGAGCUCGUAGGCGGUUUGUCGCGUCUGCCGUGAAAGUCCGGGGCUCAACUCCGGAUCUGCGGUGGGUACGGGCAGACUAGAGUGAUGUAGGGGAGACUGGAAUUCCUGGUGUAGCGGUGAAAUGCGCAGAUAUCAGGAGGAACACCGAUGGUGAAGGCAGGUCUCUGGGCAUUAACUGACGCUGAGGAGCGAAAGCAUGGGGAGCGAACAGG
Molecule: ribosomal RNA, 253 nt
Filed under: uncultured bacterium
Lineage: Bacteria
Description: partial 16S ribosomal RNA
Rfam family: Bacterial small subunit ribosomal RNA
Source: RNAcentral